GAUGAAGAACGUAGCGAAAUGCGAUAAGUAGUGUGAAUUGCAGAAUUCAGUGAAUCAUCGAAUCUUUGAACGCACAUUGCGCCCCUUGGUAUUCCAUGGGGCAUGCCUGUUCGAGCGUCAUUUGUACCUUCAAGCUCUGCUUGGUGUUGGGUGUUUGUCUCGCCUCUGCGUGUAGACUCGCCUCAAAACAAUUGGCAGCCGGCGUAUUGAUUUCGGAGCGCAGUACAUCUCGCGCUUUGCACUCAUAACGACGGCGUCCAAAAGUACAUUUUUACACUCUUGACCUCGGAUCAGGUAGGGAUACCCGCUGAACUUAAGCAUAUCAAUAAGCGGAGGA
RNAcentral lists this unclassified non-coding RNA (337 nucleotides) under soil metagenome. RNAcentral's name for it is "partial contains 5.8S ribosomal RNA, internal transcribed spacer 2, and large subunit ribosomal RNA". The stretch from base 1 to 120 matches the Rfam family "5.8S ribosomal RNA", at positions 35 to 154 of the family's 154-position model. The record is from RNAcentral.